This 253-nucleotide ribosomal RNA is filed under the name uncultured bacterium. RNAcentral's name for it is "partial 16S ribosomal RNA". It matches the Rfam family "Bacterial small subunit ribosomal RNA", at positions 524 to 776 of the family's 1533-position model. The record is from RNAcentral.
UACGUAGGGGGCAAGCGUUGUCCGGAUUUACUGGGCGUAAAGAGCGCGUAGGCGGUCGUUCAAGUCGAGUGUGAAAGCCCCCGGCUCAACUGGGGAGGGUCACUCGAUACUGAUCGACUUGAAGGCAGGAGAGGGAAGCGGAAUUCCCGGUGUAGUGGUGAAAUGCGUAGAUAUCGGGAGGAACACCAGUGGCGAAGGCGGCUUCCUGGCCUGUUCUUGACGCUGAGGCGCGAAAGCUAGGGGAGCAAACGGG